GGUAAUGUCAUGCCAGCAGCGGUGUUAAUACGGGGGGUGGAAGCGUUAAGCGGAAUUAAUGGGCGUAAAGGGUGGGUAGGUGGUUUAUUAAGUCUGAUGUGAAAGCCCUGGGCUCAACCUAGGAAUUGCAUUGGAUACUGGCAGGCUAGAGUGCGGUAGAGGGUAGUAGAAUUCCCGGUGUAGCAGUGAAAUGCGUAGAGAUCGGGAGGAACAUCCGUGGCGAAGGCGACUACCUGGACCAGCACUGACACUGAGGCACGAAAGCGUGGGGAGCAAACAGGAUUAGAUACCCUUGUAGUC
RNAcentral lists this ribosomal RNA (300 nucleotides) under uncultured Lactobacillus sp. RNAcentral's name for it is "bacterial SSU rRNA". It matches the Rfam family "Bacterial small subunit ribosomal RNA", at positions 496 to 795 of the family's 1533-position model. Lineage: Bacteria; Bacillati; Bacillota; Bacilli; Lactobacillales; Lactobacillaceae. The record is from RNAcentral.